ACGGGAGGCAGCAGUAGGGAAUAUUGGACAAUGGGGGAAACCCUGAUCCAGCGACGCCGCGUGAGUGAAGAAAUAUUUCGGUAUGUAAAGCUCUAUCAGCAGGGAAGAAAAUGACGGUACCUGACUAAGAAGCACCGGCUAAAUACGUGCCAGCAGCCGCGGUAAUACGUAUGGUGCAAGCGUUAUCCGGAUUUACUGGGUGUAAAGGGUGCGUAGGUGGUAUGGCAAGUCAGAAGUGAGAUGCGGGGGCUCAACCCCUGAACUGCUUUUGAAACUGUCAAACUAGAGUGCAGGAGAGGAAAGCGGAAUUCCUAGUGUAGCGGUGAAAUGCGUAGAUAUUAGGAGGAACACCAGUGGCGAAGGCGGCUUUCUGGACUGUAACUGACACUGAGGCACGAAAGCGUGGGGAGCAAACAGGAUUAGAUACCCUGGUA
RNAcentral lists this ribosomal RNA (434 nucleotides) under uncultured Lachnospiraceae bacterium. Its description in RNAcentral is "partial 16S ribosomal RNA". It matches the Rfam family "Bacterial small subunit ribosomal RNA", at positions 341 to 792 of the family's 1533-position model. Lineage: Bacteria; Bacillati; Bacillota; Clostridia; Lachnospirales; Lachnospiraceae. The record is from RNAcentral.